This 223-nucleotide long non-coding RNA is filed under the name Rosa chinensis. Its description in RNAcentral is "sRNA RchiOBHm_Chr6g0246831". Lineage: Eukaryota; Viridiplantae; Streptophyta; Magnoliopsida; Rosales; Rosaceae. The record is from RNAcentral.
CCAUCUCCAGUCCAUGGCAACAACAGCAGUACUUUUCCACUUGCUCGCUCUAUCAGAUUAGCAAUCCGCUGCUCAUUGUUAGGGCUUCAAGAGUAUCGGCCAUGACCUUCUAUUACGGAUGGUCUCUAUAUGUGUUUGGCUUCAUCUCACUUAAAUGGCGAGACUGAAAUCUCAUAUCUGUAAGAAAGGCUCUUACAUGCCCCUUUUUGUCAGGCAGAUCUAA